UGACUAUAUCAUGUUGAAAUACCGGUUCUCUUACAAUCACCAAAGUUAAGCAUCAUCAAGCCUUGUCAGUACCUAGGUGGGUGACCACUUAAGAAUACCAGGUGCUGUAAG
Molecule: non-coding RNA, 111 nt
Organism: Acanthosepion pharaonis
Lineage: Eukaryota; Metazoa; Mollusca; Cephalopoda; Sepiida; Sepiidae
Source: the annotation of a GenBank genome assembly